AAUGACAGACUGAGCAAAAUUGCU
Molecule: non-coding RNA, 24 nt
Filed under: Cricetulus griseus (Chinese hamster)
Lineage: Eukaryota; Metazoa; Chordata; Mammalia; Rodentia; Cricetidae
Source: RNAcentral